Long non-coding RNA from Scylla paramamosain (green mud crab), 929 nucleotides. RefSeq lists it as uncharacterized. The record is from RefSeq and is a predicted model, not a curated record. Lineage: Eukaryota; Metazoa; Arthropoda; Malacostraca; Decapoda; Portunidae. The transcript has 3 exons.
UUUCUCCAUCUUAUGGCAGCAUAUAUUUUCAACACAGAGUGAGGGCAGUGUCAUUCCUCCUGUCCACUACCCCAACUUCUACUCCCAACACUACCACAACAAUGAGCGGUCUGGUGUGGUGGCUGAGGAUUCUUUUGAAGAGGACAAUGCUUCUGCUUCAUCUGAGCAGCUUGAAGCUGCCUGCAGAAAUAGGCAAAACAGCAACUGACGAAAGAAUAAAGUUGAAGGAAACUGGAGUUUCCCUGCAAAACAAGCUAUCAAGAAGACCUAUACAAUGAGGUUCUGGAAUGUAACUCCCACAGAUGGCAGGGAAACACUGUAUAUCUUCCCUCCCACAACAGCGAUGCACUUAAUGAAUUGGGCCAAGAUAAUUAGUGAAAGCUUUCUGUGUUAAAGAGAUGCAGCUAGUGGGCCAAUAUAUAUACUGAUCGUUCAAUUAAUCCUUUAUGUCAUAAAACUUCUCUGAAAAAAUCUAGUGAAUAAUUUUUCCUCUCUCACUGCACUGUCCUUGAUCUAAAUUACAUAUUAAAACUACACAUGAUAGUGUAAUGAUCAGUAUGCUUGGCUCACAAACCAUAUAUAUAUAUAUAUAUAUAUAUAUAUAUAUAUAUAUAUAUAUAUAUAUAUAUAUAUAUAUAUAUAUAUAUAUAUAUAUAUAUAUAUAUAUAUAUAUAUAUAUAUAUAUAUAUAUAUAUAUAUAUAUAUAUAUAUGCUUGGCUUUGUCUCCAAACUCUCCCCCAUAGAGAGACUGUAUUAACCUGCAGAAAUAAAGCUAUCAUUCAGGGAAACUGGUUUGUUUGCCAAACAAACAUUACAUUGCUGAAUAUUCUGUGGCACCAAAUGCUUUGUCAGGAAUUGUGGCAAUGAUAUUUCAAUCCUUGUCUUUGCAUCCUACAAUUUGUAUGCUGAACAUAAACCUUAUCAACAAG